GCAGAGACCAACCCUCGUACCUUUUGCAUCAUGAUUUAGCAAGUAAAGCCCAAGCAAAGCGACCUGUAGUUUGAGACCCCGAAACUAAGCGAGCUACUCCAAGACAGCCCAAUUGGGGCAAACCCGUCCCUGUGGCAAAAGGGUGGGAAGAGCUUUGAGUAGAGGCGAUAAACCUACCGAGCAUAGUUAUAGCUGGUUGUUUGAGAAAUGAAUAGAAGUUCAGCUCCCCGGCUUCCCAACAAACCAGAGAAGUUAAUUAAAGGAGGUACAGCUCCUUUUUAAUAGAAACACCUUUUACAGAUGGCCAAAGAUCAAAAUAAAUUAAGGAUUCCUAUUUUAGUGGGCCUAAAAGCAGCCACCUAAUUAUAAAGCGUUAAAGCUAGAAUAAAAUAUAAUGUUACUAAAUCUCCCACCUCUGUUAUUAUCAAACCAUCUCAUGCCUCCAUGAGAGUGAUAAUGCUAAAAUGAGUAAUAAGAAGCUAACUUCUCCUAAUACAUGUGUAUCUCGGAACGGAAAAUCCACCGAUUAUUAGCCGACCCCAACAAAAGAGGGAAGUGAAAUAAACUAGAAAACCUUUCAUCGUUAACCCAACACAGGAGUAUAAAUAAGGAAAGACAAAAAGAAAAAGAAGGAACUCGGCAAACAAGCCUCGCCUGUUUACCAAAAACAUCGCCUCUUGAAAAUAUAAGAGGUCCCGCCUGCCCUGUGACUUAAAGUUUAACGGCCGCGGUAUUUUGACCGUGCAAAGGUAGCGCAAUCACUUGUCUUUUAAAUGAAGACCUGUAUGAAUGGCAUCACGAGGGCUUAGCUGUCUCCUUUUUCAAGUCAAUGAAAUUGAUCUCCCCGUGCAGAAGCGGGGAUAAUAAUAUAAGACGAGAAGACCCUAUGGAGCUUUAGACCUAAUGCAGUCCACGAAUAAUACUUUUGAUGAAGAAAGAAAAGCUCAAUGGCUCCUGCACGCCUGUCUUUGGUUGGGGCGACCGCGGGGAAAAAUAAAACCCCCAUGAGGAUUGAGAGUUCUCCUAAAACCAAGAGCCACAGCUCUAAGUAACAGAAAUUCUGACCUAAAUGAUCCGGGAAACCGAUCAACGAACCGAGUUACCCUAGGGAUAACAGCGCAAUCCCCUUCCAGAGCCCAUAUCGACAAGGGGGUUUACGACCUCGAUGUUGGAUCAGGACAUCCUAAUGGUGCAG
Molecule: ribosomal RNA, 1195 nt
Filed under: Zeus faber (John dory)
Lineage: Eukaryota; Metazoa; Chordata; Actinopteri; Zeiformes; Zeidae
Description: partial 16S ribosomal RNA
Rfam family: Bacterial large subunit ribosomal RNA
Source: RNAcentral